RNA transcript from Girardinichthys multiradiatus, 4468 nucleotides. It is a transcript of the gene named Janus kinase and microtubule interacting protein 3, with no coding region annotated. The transcript is spliced from 23 exons. The record is from RefSeq and is a predicted model, not a curated record. Lineage: Eukaryota; Metazoa; Chordata; Actinopteri; Cyprinodontiformes; Goodeidae.
AUAAGAAUAGGAAGAAGAGGAGGAGAUGAUGUAAGCAGAAGCAGCAGAGAUGCUAACAGUGGAGUGACAGAUGAACCCACAGUGACGGAGCCCAGCAUAUCGCGCACAGACCCAGCAUCUACAGGCUGGCAGGGGAGGCAGCUGGAAGAAGGCUGAUGCAGCACACAUACACACACGCACAUAUACACACACACUGUGAGCUGCAGUGGAGCUAGCUUCUGACAGCAUUAUGCACAGGAGGCUGAUCAGCACAAACAACGAUGUUGCCUCCAAAACAUCCUGAUGCACGGCGCAGAUGUAGUCAGAAUUCAGGUUGACAUUUAGCUGGAGGAGGGUGCGGAGCCAGCAGGUGUUGGUUAUGUCAAAACGAGGAGUAGGAGGACGAGGGAAGGCAGAGCGACCAGAUGCUAUGGCAACACUUCAAGCAGCAAAUGAGGAACUGAGAGCAAAACUAAUGGAGAUUCAGAUUGAACUCCAGCAGGAAAAAAACAAGGUGAGCCGUCUGGAGAGGGAGAAGAGUCAGGAGCUGAAGGCAGAGCAUAACCGUACAACUGUCACCCUGACGGAGCUGAAGACCAAACUCCAUGAAGAGAAGCAGAAAGAGCUGGCAGUUACCAGGGAGACAUUGCUACGGCAACAUGAGAUGGAGUUAAUGAGGGUCAUUAAGAUCAAAGAUGGAGAAAUCCAACGUCUGAAUGGACUGGUCCAAAAUCUGAGGGACGGAUCCACAGAAAAGGUGAGGAGCACCUUGAUGGGGGAGGUGGAGGAGGCAAGGAGGAACUGGGAGGCGGAGCGCUGUCGCCUCCAGCAGGAGGUUCAGGAGGUGCGAGGAUCAAAGAAGCAUGCAGAGGAAGCCCUGGUAUUGGCCCAGCAGGCCUGCCAGGCCCGUGCAGCUGAGCUCCGAUCAGCUCAUCACCAGCACCAGGAGGAGCUCAACAGAACCAAGAGAGACUGUGAGAGGGAGAUCCGCCGACUGAUGGAUGAGAUAAAGCUGAAGGACAGAGCAGUCAGUGUUUUGGAUAAAGCUUUGGGGCUGCAGGCUGGACAUGCCCACCGCCUCCAGUUGCAGACUCAGGCUGCUGAACAACAGAUCGCUGCCAUGAGAGAUGCACAGAGGGUGGGGCUAAACCAUCCUGCUUCUAACUCCACCCCUAACAAUGCUCCUUUCAUUUCUCAGGAUGAUCGAGAUACUCGGAGGUUUCAGCUAAAGAUUGCUGAGCUAAGUGCAGUCAUCAGGAAACUGGAAGAUAGAAACUCUCUGCUGUCUGAAGAACGUAAUGAACUGUUAAAGCGUCUGAGGGAAACAGAAAGUCAGUUUCUUCCUCUUCUGGAUAAAAACAAACGUCUGAGCAGGAAAAACGAAGAGCUGGCUCUCUCCCUGCGUCGCCUGGAUAACAAACUUCGCUUUGUGACCCAGGAGAACUUGGAGAUGGCAACUAUGAGGAGACCCAGUUCACUAAACGACUUGGACCGAAGCCACUCCACAAGUUAUCAUGGUUACAACCAAGAUGAGAGAGAGAUGGACUUUCUACGCUUACAGGUGGUGGAGCAGCAACAUAUCAUUGAUGACCUCUCCAAGGAGCGAGACUGGUUACUGAGGUACAGACGUCAGGAACCAGUGAGAAGGAGGAGAACCUUCAGAGCAUGCAGGGUCAUAGAGACAUUUUAUGGUUAUGAUGAAGAGACGUCGAUGGAUUCUGAUGGAUCAUCUUUGUCCUUCCACACCGACAGAACUCCAGACACUGAACCUGAAGAGACUUGUGUACGUGAGGAGGCAGAACUUCGAUACCGUCAGCUUACUCAGGAGUAUCAGGCUCUGCAGCGAGCAUACGCUCUGCUGGCUGAGACAUGUGGAGGAAACUACGAUGCUGAGAAGGAGAUCAAGACCAGAGAGCAGCUGCUGAAUGAAAUCAGUCGAUAUCAGAGCAGAGUGGCAGAUCUGGAGUCAGCGCUGAAACAUCAAGGAUUGGACGUGAAGUGGGUGGAGGAGAAGCAUGCACUGUAUCAGAGGAACCAGGAGUUGGUGGAGAAGAUGAGGCAGAUGGAAGGUGAAGAGCUGCAGCUGAAAGAUGACAUUCAGGAUAUCAGAGAUCAAAAUGAGCUGCUGGAGUUCAGGAUCUUAGAACUGGAGGAGAGGGAGCGCCGCUCACCUGGCAUUAACUUCAAACAACUGCACUUCCCAGAAGGUCUCAGUCCCCUUCAGAUCUACUGUGAAGUUGAGGGGAUCACGGACAUUGUCAUCAGUGAGUUGUUGAAGAAGCUGGACAUUCUGGGGGAUAACGCCGUAAGUAAUCUGUCCAAUGAGGAGCAGGUGGCAGUGAUCCAUGCCAGGACGGUGCUCACUCUGACAGAAAAGUGGCUGGAGUCCAUCGAAGUGACAAAGUCAGCUCUGCAGCAGAAGAUGUUGGACAUUGAGAACGAGAAGGAUCUCUUCAGAAAACAGAAAGGCUACCUGGAUGAAGAGCUGGACUUUAGAAAGCAGUCCAUGGAUCAGGCCCAUAAGAGGAUCUUGGAGCUGGAGGCCAUGUUGUUUGAGGCUUUGCAGCAGGAGGAUGCUUCCAGGACUCCAGGACUAAUAAAGGGAGAGGGUCGGCUGUCUGAUUUAUUGACAGAAGAAGAGAAAGAGGAGCUAAGGAGAGCCAUGGACCAGUGGAAACGAUGUGUGAUGUGUGAGCUGAGAGAGAGAGAUGCUCAGAUCCUUCGAGAAAGGAUGGACCUGCUUCAGCUCACACAACAGGUGAACAUCUACAUAACAGAGGAACAAGGAGCUGGAGGAGAGUAUAGAAGCACAGAAACGACAGAUUAAAGAGCUAGAGGAGAAGUUUCUGUUUCUAUUUCUAUUCUUCUCUUUGGCCUUCAUCCUCUGGUCCUGAAUCCAGUCCACCAGAGACCACCAGGUGAACACUCAGCAGUGCAGGCUCAGUCUGGAUCCAAACCAGGUCAUUGUAGGAUUGUGCAGGUCUGAAACCAGCCGCAACAAAGCACAACUCUACUCUUCUAGAUGUCAACUGACCACUGCUUUGUUACAGUCAGUUUCUGCCUCGGAGAUCAAGACUGGUUUCUGUGGCAACAAAGAAAACGUGGGGUUUGGUCUGGAAAUACUCCGAAUGAGAGGAAGAUGUCAGGCAUUAAGCUGAAACAGUCCAUUCACUGGGAUUUGAAAAGUUAAGUUCCAUCUGCAACUGAAACUGCUCAGUCAGCAGCCGAGGAUCACGUGUGGGAGUGCUGAAUGAAGAACCUCACAUGAUGCAAAUACCGAUUGGCUGAAUAACACCUGUGGACCGCAGGGAGCUUUAACAAUUCUGCUUUAACGGUUCUAAAUUUACAUCACCUGAGUUCAUCUUAGAACCAAACAGUGACAGCAGAAACAUCUUUACCACAUCAAGAGAUCUGCUGAGGAAAGAAACUGAAACAGAAAGAAGGAAUCUGGAAGUCCCAUUAAAAACACAAACCUGCUGCAGCCCCAUGUCUCUGCGUGAUGAAGAUCAGCAGAAAAGCUGGAAAGAGUUUAAAUUAAUUUGGAGAUAGAACAAGUCCAAACUGAGUUCAAGAAGGAAACAACCAACUAAUCCACCCGAGUAUACUUUGUGCAGACAUCUUCAGAAUCAGAAUCAGCUUUAUUGCCAAGUUCGUGCAUACAAACAAGGAAUUUGACUCCGGUACACUUUGCUCUUUUGUUCUGUUUUUGCAUUACAGAAUAUACAAAUUUACAAUUUACAAUGUACAAUAUACAAUGUACAAUGCAAUAUUCUGCAUUACAGAAUAAUCAUCUUGUGAUGAUCCUUGGUGCUCAGGUCAUAUCUGAUACCUUGAAGCUUUGCAGAAAUGCAUGCAUGUCAUGUACAUGCAUGCAUUUCCUAACAUGGAUAUAAAAGUGGCAGCAGCAGGUCUUCUUUAGGCCUGGAAGCAAAGACUUAUUCCCAGAGAAGAAAGUUCAAUGUUCGUUUCUUCACCAGGUGCUGGAGGUGGAUUCAACCUCCUCUGUGUUUAGGAGAUCCAACUUUGAGUGGAAACCUUUAAAAUCCAAACAGUGUUUACUUCAUGGAAAAACUUUUAUGGUUUUAUUCCCAAUACUGAUGAUGGAACAUAACUUCACAAAGUUUAAAUGAUUUAUUAAAAAAUAUAAAGUUUUUAUUCUGUUACUGGAGAUAAUCACAUAAAUCUGAAAUGUAGACAUUCACACACAAAAACUAUUGAAUAUUUUGUACUUUAAGUCACUUUUUUUUUUUUUUUUAUUAAAGUCACCCUUCAGAUCAGUUUUUAUUUUAAAAUGAGCACUGUAGUUUUUGGUCAUCAUCAGUCAAAGAGUAGGAAGAGCACAAACUGUGUGUGGAUCCAUUGUCAUUCUCAGUUCCAGCAUCGUAGUCCUGGUUCUGGACUUUUAUUAUCCCAGAUUCUAUUUUUCUAGCCUUGCUGUGAGUCUGAAAAUCUGAGGUCAUCACUGAGAUUAAAAUGUUGGACACCAGAA